This 751-nucleotide long non-coding RNA is filed under the name Fragaria vesca (wild strawberry). Its description in RNAcentral is "long non-coding RNA (FVES_LNC005368)". The record is from RNAcentral. Lineage: Eukaryota; Viridiplantae; Streptophyta; Magnoliopsida; Rosales; Rosaceae.
GGGUAAGAUUCAGCCAACAAUUAAAGGGUAAGAUUCAGCCAACAACUUGUGAUUGGCUCUUUAGCAUUUUAAGCCAUCCAACUCACAGAUUGGCUCUUUAGCAUUUUGUUCAAGUAAACGACGAUUUCCCAGAGCUGCUGCCUUCUUGUUUUGGAGCCUCAGAGGAGUCAAUGUCUAGCGAUUUCGAAAGAGACCCAUCUUUUGAUACUUCUUCAAGAGCCUCACUGAAGUUGUUAUCUUGCAAUUGACAAAGAACAGAAGGCUUUCUCUCGAUAAUCCCAAUUGGUUGAAGACGGCAAUGUGGCAGCGGAAGGAAGCGCCGGUGCUGUGAUGACGGGCUAAAGGCGGCGACGGUGCUGCGAUGACAGGUUGAAGGCGACCCAGAAGGCGAUGAUGAGAAUUCUGGUGUAUGUUCGACGUGAAAAGGGAGGUUUGUACAAACCCAUCAGUUUUGGUGUCUAUGAUAGAAAGUGUUGGAGGGAUACAUGGACUCUAUAGUCCAUAUUGAGGGGGGUGAAUUCAAUUGAGAUUUUUUAGACUUUAAAAGUCUAUGGAUAUUUAAUUAAGAUUUUAAAAAGUGUCUCUAAAUCUUGAGGUAUUCAAUUAAAAUUUUAAAAUAUCCAUUAAAAUCGGCUGGUAUUUAAAACUCCGUAGAUUCUCACGGAUUUCAUUAGUUGUUGGAUUUUGAUGGAUUCUAAAGGGCUAGGUAUAAAUACAAAACUCAUUCUGAAAUCUGGCCACCUCCCUCAAG